CUCGCAGCGAAUUUUACACUAAUUCAUGGCGCGCGCAUGCAGAGCAGGCGGCCAGGCGCAGCUGAGCCCCUGCUGCAUGCUUGCAUGGAUGCAUGGCCAUGCACAGGGAAGGCAUGACACGUCCGCACACUGAUGAUACUAUGUACACCCUACGAGUACAGAAGUAGGAGUACUCCUACCACCAGCAGUACUUACUCCCAUGCAUGC
RNAcentral lists this long non-coding RNA (207 nucleotides) under Brachypodium distachyon (stiff brome). RNAcentral's name for it is "long non-coding RNA (BDIS_LNC006037)". Lineage: Eukaryota; Viridiplantae; Streptophyta; Magnoliopsida; Poales; Poaceae. The record is from RNAcentral.